GAUGAACGCUGGCGGCGUGCCUAAUACAUGCAAGUCGAGCGAACAGAUGAGGAGCUUGCUCCUCUGACGUUAGCGGCGGACGGGUGAGUAACACGUGGAUAACCUACCUAUAAGACUGGGAUAACUUCGGGAAACCGGAGCUAAUACCGGAUAAUAUAUUGAACCGCAUGGUUCAAUAGUGAAAGACGGUUUUGCUGUCACUUAUAGAUGGAUCCGCGCCGCAUUAGCUAGUUGGUAAGGUAACGGCUUACCAAGGCAACGAUGCGUAGCCGACCUGAGAGGGUGAUCGGCCACACUGGAACUGAGACACGGUCCAGACUCCUACGGGAGGCAGCAGUAGGGAAUCUUCCGCAAUGGGCGAAAGCCUGACGGAGCAACGCCGCGUGAGUGAUGAAGGUCUUCGGAUCGUAAAACUCUGUUAUUAGGGAAGAACAAAUGUGUAAGUAACUAUGCACGUCUUGACGGUACCGAAUCAGAAAGCCACGGCGAACUACGU
This 496-nucleotide ribosomal RNA is filed under the name uncultured bacterium. Its description in RNAcentral is "partial 16S ribosomal RNA". It matches the Rfam family "Bacterial small subunit ribosomal RNA", at positions 28 to 506 of the family's 1533-position model. The record is from RNAcentral.